Neolamprologus brichardi is the source of this 360-nucleotide non-coding RNA. The record is from the annotation of a RefSeq genome assembly. NCBI's taxonomy places the organism in Eukaryota, Metazoa, Chordata, Actinopteri, Cichliformes, Cichlidae.
AUGAUGGAUUUCAAGGCAGGACUGCUGCUUUUAGCUGUUUACUGCGCAGGUGUUGAUUGUCAGACUCUGAGAGAAUCUGAACCAGUGAUUAAAAGGCCUGGAGACUCUCACAGACUGACCUGUACAGCCUCUGGAUUCACAUUCAGCAGCUACUGGAUGAACUGGAUCAGACAGGCUCCUGGAAAAGGACUGGAGUGGAUUGCAACUGAUACAGGUGGUAGUAGCAAAUACUACUCUCAGUCAGUACAAGGCCGGUUUACUGUCUCCAGAGACAACAGCAGAGAGCAGCUGUAUCUGCAGAUGAACAGCCUGAAGACUGAAGAUUCUGCUGUUUAUUACUGUGCCCGAGAGUCACAGUGA